UACGUAGGUGGCAAGCGUUGUCCGGAAUUACUGGGCGUAAAGCGUGCGCAGGCGGUUUUGUAAGACUGUCGUGAAAUCCCCGGGCUUAACCUGGGAAUGGCGAUGGUGACUGCAAGGCUAGAGUUUGGCAGAGGGGGGUAGAAUUCCACGUGUAGCAGUGAAAUGCGUAGAUAUGUGGAGGAACACCGAUGGCGAAGGCAGCCCCCUGGGUCAAAACUGACGCUCAUGAACGAAAGCGUGGGGAGCAAACAGG
RNAcentral lists this ribosomal RNA (253 nucleotides) under uncultured bacterium. RNAcentral describes it as "partial 16S ribosomal RNA". It matches the Rfam family "Bacterial small subunit ribosomal RNA", at positions 524 to 776 of the family's 1533-position model. The record is from RNAcentral.